This 500-nucleotide ribosomal RNA is filed under the name uncultured bacterium. RNAcentral describes it as "bacterial SSU rRNA". It matches the Rfam family "Bacterial small subunit ribosomal RNA", at positions 183 to 683 of the family's 1533-position model. The record is from RNAcentral.
AUGGCACAUGCUGUUGUCUUCAAAGGCGCAAGUCGCCACAAGAGGGAUCCGCGGCCGAUUAGCUUGUUGGCGAGGUAAUGGCUCACCAAGGCAUUGAUCGGUAGCCGGACUGAGAGGUUGGCCGGCCACACUGGAACUGAGACACGGUCCAGACUCCUACGGGAGGCAGCAGUGGGGAAUCUUGCACAAUGGACGAAAGUCUGAUGCAGCAACGCCGCGUGGGGGAUGAAGCUUCUCGGAGUGUAAGCCCCUUUCGACCCGGAAGAAUGCCCGCAAGGGUAUGACGGUACGGGUAUAAGAAGCCCCGGCUAACUACGUGCCAGCAGCCCGCGGUAAUACGUAGGGGGCCAGCGUUGCUCGGAAUUACUGGGCGUAAAGGGUCCGUAGGCGGUGUAGCAAGUCGAUAGUGAAAUCUCUGGGCUUAACCCAGAGGCUUGCUAACAAAACUGCUGUGCUAUAAGUGUGAGAAAAGGCCAGUGGAAUUACCGGGUGUAGCCGGU